Helianthus annuus (common sunflower) is the source of this 1587-nucleotide RNA transcript. It is a transcript of the gene named signal peptide peptidase-like 4, with no coding region annotated. Lineage: Eukaryota; Viridiplantae; Streptophyta; Magnoliopsida; Asterales; Asteraceae. The record is from RefSeq and is a predicted model, not a curated record. The transcript is spliced from 7 exons.
CACACAAACCCUAAUUUCAUUUUCAAUUAGCUUCAUCUCUGCCGUUUCUUUUCUACCUCUCUAUUACGUUUGUGAAUCAGUGGUAAUGGUACACACAAUUGUUGAUCGCUUUAAUGACUGAACCCUAAAUCUCCUAAGAUCGAUUGUUGUGUAUCUUCCUGUAUUCACAUCUUUUGUUCAUAGUUUUCGAUCAACGAAACAGAUUCUGGGCUCGGAUUUAAUGGCGUCUUGAGUUACUCUUCUUUGUUGGAAAAGUGCACAUAUCCGUGUUAUCUGGUUUAAUUUCGAUUUUGAAGUGAAGAGCUAUGCAAAUCGGAAUCCACUUCCAAGUAAUCUUCUUCCUGUGAUCUUUUGUAUAAUGGGUUUAAUUUGUUUUAUGUCAUUUUCUUUGGUUUUAGGGUUUAUAAAUCAAUCAGCAUUUGAAGCUUCAUCCGAGCAUUUUUGCAAUGAAGAGUUAUGCAUGUCUUGAAGUUGGAAAUGUGACUUCUGAUCAACUAUUAAAAUAAAUAGGUCGACUAAUAAUCUUUGCAACCUUUGCUGUGAGUAUAUUGGAUUUUUGUUUACUUUAGAGUACAAGUUCCAUAGCCUUUAUACGACUGGUCUACUGGUAGUCAUUUUCUCUUUUGGUAUCCUCAUUACUUCAACGAGGACUGGAUGCAUUAGGUUUUGGUGUUAUAGUACAGUUUAUGUGCAGCUAUACACUCCAAAACGCCCAUCGGUUGAUGUUGCUGAGGUGUUUUAUGGCUUAUGAAUGUUGGUACCAUUCUAUGUGCAUCUUAGUGGUCUGCCUGGAGGCCGAAGCAGCUAUUGAGCUGGACAAACUAUUAAAGGAUGCUUCUGAUGAAUAUAUGAGUACGGAGGUUUCUUAUUUCAGUGGUGUCUUUGAGAUUACCAACACAUCAGUGAUUGUGUUUAUUGUGGUUUCAUCAUGUUUCUUAGUUUGGCUUUACAAAAAAAUGUCAUACGUGUUCAUUGAGGUUUUGGUUGUCCUAUUCGCCAUUGGUGGGGGCGAGGUAUGUACUCAUUCGCAUAAGAAAAAAAUUAUUUUCUUUGAUUUUGACUUUAAUAAAUUGAUGAGCUCUAUUUUCUUUUUUUCUUUCUCGGGGUCUGCAAACGUGCUUGGUGGCUUUAUUAGCAUGGUAUAUAUGUAAUACAUAUCAGCGGUGGAUUAGAAUACAAUUUAUCUAUUACUUCAUCUAGAAAUUUCAAUAAAUACAGUUUCAGAUCGUUUGAGAAUGUUGCAAAGUCAUUUAUCAAAAUCCCCUUUUUAGGAGGGUGUUGCUUUGAUAAUCACAGUAAUCCAGAUAAUUCAAGUUCCUAAUCUCAAGAUUCAGUAGACAGCAGUUGGUUGCCUGCAGCAAUAGAUAGUUUAAUGUCGUUGGAGGCUGGGAAGAUCUGGUAGUUUCAAGGCACUAUUGGGAGCUAUUAUUUUCUCACAAUGACACAAAAAAGAUUAUAUUAUAUUGUUAUGCAUUAGCAACUUCAAGUCUGGGACCACCAGUUGUGAAAGUUAGCUUAUUAAGUAGUGCUAUAAAGUUGUUAAUUUUAUUUUUCUUUCGUUGGAAAAGUCCAUAACUUUUCAUUUUG